UACGAAGGGGGCUAGCGUUGCUCGGAAUCAUUGGGCGUAAAGCGCACGCAGGCGGAUCCUUAAGUCAGGGGUGAAAUCCCGGGGCUCAACCCCGGAACUGCCUUUGAUACUGGGGAUCUUGAGUCCGGGAGAGGUGAGUGGAAUUGCGAGUGUAGAGGUGAAAUUCGUAGAUAUUCGCAAGAACACCAGUGGCGAAGGCGGCUCACUGGCCCGGUACUGACGCUGAGGUGCGAAAGCGUGGGGAGCAAACAGG
This 253-nucleotide ribosomal RNA is filed under the name uncultured bacterium. RNAcentral's name for it is "partial 16S ribosomal RNA". It matches the Rfam family "Bacterial small subunit ribosomal RNA", at positions 524 to 776 of the family's 1533-position model. The record is from RNAcentral.